GAUGAACGCUGGCGGCGUGCCUAAUACAUGCAAGUCGAGCGAACAGACGAGGAGCUUGCUCCUCUGACGUUAGCGGCGGACGGGUGAGUAACACGUGGAUAACCUACCUAUAAGACUGGGAUAACUUCGGGAAACCGGAGCUAAUACCGGAUAAUAUAUUGAACCGCAUGGUUCAAUAGUGAAAGACGGUUUUGCUGUCACUUAUAGAUGGAUCCGCGCCGCAUUAGCUAGUUGGUAAGGUAACGGCUUACCAAGGCAACGAUGCGUAGCCGACCUGAGAGGGUGAUCGGCCACACUGGAACUGAGACACGGUCCAGACUCCUACGGGAGGCAGCAGUAGGGAAUCUUCCGCAAUGGGCGAAAGCCUGACGGAGCAACGCCGCGUGAGUGAUGAGGGUCUUCGGAUCGUAAAACUCUGUUACUAGGGAAGAACAAAUGUGUAAGUAACUAUGCACGUCUUGACGGUACCUAAUCAGAAAGCCACGGCUAACUACGUG
RNAcentral lists this ribosomal RNA (497 nucleotides) under uncultured bacterium. Its description in RNAcentral is "partial 16S ribosomal RNA". It matches the Rfam family "Bacterial small subunit ribosomal RNA", at positions 28 to 507 of the family's 1533-position model. The record is from RNAcentral.